Molecule: small nucleolar RNA, 138 nt
Filed under: Ornithorhynchus anatinus (platypus)
Lineage: Eukaryota; Metazoa; Chordata; Mammalia; Monotremata; Ornithorhynchidae
Source: RNAcentral
UGCCUCUCAGGGUCGCAUCUGAAGUGUUUCCAGUACUCUACCAGUCUUGGCUGUGGGAGGGAGAGUCAAACAGAGGCCUAACCAUUCUAUUCCUAGCUUGGCCAGUGGCUAGCGAGUGGAAGGCAAUCUGCUACAAGG